GAGAAGCUUUGGUGGUGUAAAGAGGGGAAGGGAGUGAGUUGGGAUCAGUUCCACCACCGGCCCUAGCUCGGUUUAAAAGGGGGCAAGAUUGCGGGCGGUGGCUGGGGCGGUGCAACCGCUUACAACCCGUGAUAGCCGACGGUGCUAUCGCCAGCUGGGCGGUGCCACCGCCUACAGGCGGUGAGCACUUGUUUGAGGGCUAUAUGGGC
This 209-nucleotide long non-coding RNA is filed under the name Musa acuminata (dwarf banana). Its description in RNAcentral is "long non-coding RNA (MACU_LNC009353)". Lineage: Eukaryota; Viridiplantae; Streptophyta; Magnoliopsida; Zingiberales; Musaceae. The record is from RNAcentral.